GAUGAACGCUGGCGGCGUGCUUAACACAUGCAAGUCGAACGAAGCAAUUUUCUACGAUCCCUUCGGGGUGACGGAUUAUUGACUGAGUGGCGGACGGGUGAGUAACGCGUGGGUAACCUGCCUUGUACAGGGGGACAACAGUUGGAAACGACUGCUAAUACCGCAUAAGCGCACAGCNUCGCAUGANGCAGUGUGAAAAGUUUUUUCGGUACAAGAUGGACCCGCGUCUGAUUAGCUAGUUGGUGAGGUAACGGCCCACCAAGGCGACGAUCAGUAGCCGACCUGAGAGGGUGACCGGCCACAUUGGGACUGAGACACGGCCCAAACUCCUACGGGAGGCAGCAGUGGGGAAUAUUGCACAAUGGGCGCAAGCCUGAUGCAGCGACGCCGCGUGAGCGAAGAAGUAUUUCGGUAUGUAAAGCUCUAUCAGCAGGGAAGAUAAUGACGGUAC
RNAcentral lists this ribosomal RNA (451 nucleotides) under bacterium DAZ3001. RNAcentral's name for it is "bacterial SSU rRNA". It matches the Rfam family "Bacterial small subunit ribosomal RNA", at positions 28 to 478 of the family's 1533-position model. The record is from RNAcentral.